RNAcentral lists this ribosomal RNA (679 nucleotides) under uncultured Haplosporidia. Its description in RNAcentral is "SSU rRNA". It matches the Rfam family "Eukaryotic small subunit ribosomal RNA", at positions 1109 to 1799 of the family's 1831-position model. The record is from RNAcentral. Lineage: Eukaryota; Endomyxa; Ascetosporea; Haplosporida.
GGACUCGGGGGGAAGUAUGCUCGCAAGAGUGAAACUUAAAGGAAUUGACGGGGAGGAACCACAAUGUGUGGAGCCUGCGGCUUAAUUUAACUCAACACAGGAAAACUUACCAGGUCCAGACAUAGUAAGGAUUGACAGAUUGCAGUUCUUUCUUGAUUCUAUGAAUGGUGGUGCAUGGCCGUUCUUAGUUGGUGGAGUGAUUUGUCUGGUUAAUUCCGAUAACGAACGAGAUCUCAGCCGUCCAAAUAGCCGUAACUUGAUCUCGCGGCUUGCCGCAUAGUCAAGUUCUUACCUCUGGUGCAUGUAAUUUUGGCUUCUUUGAGGGACAACCUGUUUCCAGCAGGUGGAAGUUUGAGGCUAUAACAGGUCUGUGAUGCCCUUAGAUGAUCUGGGCUGCACGCGCGCUACAUUGGUGCAUUCAGAAAGUUCCUUGCUCGUGAGAGCUAGGUAAUCAAUAAAAUGCAUCCAAGUCGGGACAGGCGAUUGCAAUUUUUCGCCUCGAACAAGGAAUAUAUAGUAAACGCAAGUCAUCAACUUGCAUUGACUGCGUCCCUGCCUCUUGUACACACCGCCCGUCGCUUCUACCGAUUGAAUAAUAAGGUGAACUGUGUGGAUGGGCGCUAGCGCCUAGAAGCAUUGUAAACCUUAUUAUUUAGAGGAAGGAGAAGUCGUAACAAGG